UACAGAGGUCUCAAGCGUUGUUCGGAUUCAUUGGGCGUAAAGGGUGCGUAGGCGGCGCGGUAAGUCGGGUGUGAAAUUUCGAGGCUUAACUUCGAAACUGCAUUCGAUACUGCCGUGCUUGAGGACUGGAGAGGAGACUGGAAUUUACGGUGUAGCGGUGAAAUGCGUAGAUAUCGUAAGGAAGACCAGUGGCAAAGGCGGGUCUCUGGACAGUUCCUGACGCUGAGGCACGAAGGCCAGGGGAGCAAACGGG
RNAcentral lists this ribosomal RNA (253 nucleotides) under uncultured bacterium. RNAcentral's name for it is "partial 16S ribosomal RNA". It matches the Rfam family "Bacterial small subunit ribosomal RNA", at positions 524 to 776 of the family's 1533-position model. The record is from RNAcentral.